This 169-nucleotide unclassified non-coding RNA is filed under the name plant metagenome. RNAcentral's name for it is "partial contains small subunit ribosomal RNA, internal transcribed spacer 1, and 5.8S ribosomal RNA". The record is from RNAcentral.
UUUCCGUAGGUGAACCUGCGGAAGGAUCAUUAGUGAACGCCCUCACGGGCUUAUACCUAUUCCACGCCUCUGUCACCCGUGCCCUUCGGGGCUAUUUUCCACACAUGGUGUACUGAACUUCAUAUCUCCUACCAAAACAAAACUUUCACCAACGGAUCUCUUGGCUCUC